Molecule: unclassified non-coding RNA, 117 nt
Organism: Papio anubis (olive baboon)
Lineage: Eukaryota; Metazoa; Chordata; Mammalia; Primates; Cercopithecidae
Rfam family: Metazoan signal recognition particle RNA
About the family: The signal recognition particle (SRP) is a universally conserved ribonucleoprotein. It is involved in the co-translational targeting of proteins to membranes. The eukaryotic SRP consists of a 300-nucleotide 7S RNA and six proteins: SRPs 72, 68, 54, 19, 14, and 9.
Source: Ensembl
GCCGGGCGUGGUGGCUCACGCCUGUAAUCCCAGCACUUUAGGAGGCCGAGGUGGGUGGAUCACUUGAGGUCAGGAGUUUGAGACCAGCCUGGCCAACAUGGUGAAACCCCAUCUCUA